CGUUCAGCAUCGGAGGUAGAGCACUGGAUGGGCUAGGGGGCCUACAAGCUUACUGACCCCAACCAAACUCCGAAUGCCGAUGCUCCAGAGACUGGCAGUGAGACCACGGGGGAUGAGCUUCGUUGGUCGAGAGGGAAACAGCCCAGAUCUACAGCUAAGGCCCCUAAUUCUGGACUAAGUGGAAAACGAUGUGAGAACGCUCAGACAGCCAGAAGGUUGGCUUAGAAGCAGCCAUCCUUUAAAGAGUGCGUAAUAGCUCACUGGUCGAGUGGUCUUGCGCGGACAAUGUAACGGGGCUCAAGUCCAGAGCCGAAGCUUAGAAUUGCACAUUUAUGUGUAGUGGUAGGGGAGCGUCGAAUUUGCUGUGAAGCGGAGGUGUGAACCUGCGUGGAGCGUAUUCGAGUGAGAAUGCUGGUAUGAGUAGCGAGAGAGGGGUGAGAAACCCCUCCACCGUAAGCCCAAGGGUUCCUGGGGAAGGCUAAUCCCCCCAGGGUAAGUCGGGAGCUAAGGCGAGGCCGAGAGGCGUAGUCGAUGCACAACAGGUUGAUAUUCCUGUACCACCGCGUUCGCGCCCAUUCCAAAGUGAGGAUACUAAGGGGCUGACCUUCGGGUCGAACUGACCAGCCCCGCGGCGGAAAGCAAUGGAGGGACGGAGGAGGAUAGGUGAGCCCAGGCGUUGGUUGUCCUGGGGUAAGUGCGUAGGGCGAGGUGUAGGUAAAUCCGCACUUCAUGAUGCCUGAGACACGAUGCCGAGCCAUUAGGCGAAGUCACUGAUUCCAUGCUCCCAAGAAAAUCUUCUAGCGAGUGAACACGGUGCCCGUACCCCAAACCGACACAGGUGGGCGGGUAGAGAAUACCAAGGUGAUCGGGAUAACCGUAGUUAAGGAACUCGGCAAAAUGCAUCCGUAACUUCGGGAGAAGGAUGGCCUUAUUAGCGUGAAGGACUUCGCGUCCGGAGCGUGAAAAGGUCGCAGAGAAUUGUGGGAAGCGACUGUUUACCAAAAACACAGGAGCGUGCUAAGUCGUAAGACGCUGUAUACGCUCUGACGCCUGCCCGGUGCUGGAAGGUUACGGGGAUCGGUUAGCUUUCGGGCGAAGCUGAGAACCUAAGCCCCAGUAAACGGCGGCCGUAACUAUAACGGUCCUAAGGUAGCGAAAUUCCUUGUCGGGUAAGUUCCGACCUGCACGAAUGGCGUAACGACUUCCCAACUGUCUCAACUAGAGACCCGGCGAAAUUGAAGUACGAGUAAAGAUGCUCGUUAGCUGCAUCAGGACGGAAAGACCCCGUGCACCUUUACUACAACUUGAUGUUGGGUUUUGGUUCAGUUUGUGUAGGAUAGCUGGGAGACUUUGAAGCGUUGGCGCUAGUCAGCGUGGAGUCAAUGUUGAAAUACCAGCCUUUCUGCGCCGGAACCCUAACCUUGGUCCGUAAUCCGGAUCAGGAACAGCGUCAGGCGGGUAGUUUGACUGGGGCGGUCGCCUCCUAAAAUGUAACGGAGGCGCCCAAAGGUUCCCUCAGGCUGGUUGGCAAUCAGCUGUUGAGUGCAAUGACACAAGGGAGCUUGACUGCGAGACCUACAGGUCGAGCAGGUACGAAAGUAGGGCAUAGUGAUCCGGCGGUUGCUUGUGGAAGCGCCGUCGCUCAACGGAUAAAAGGUACGCCGGGGAUAACAGGCUUAUUUCCCCCAAGAGUCCAUAUCGACGGGGAAGUUUGGCACCUCGAUGUCGGCUCGUCGCAUCCUGGGGCUGAAGCCGGUCCCAAGGGUUGGGCUGUUCGCCCAUUAAAGCGGUACGCGAGCUGGGUUCAGAACGUCGUGAGACAGUUCGGUCCCUAUCCGAUGCAGCCGUAAGUGAUUUGAGAAAGGUUGUCCCUAGUACGAGAGGACCGGGACGAACGCAGCUCUCGUGUGACAGUUGUCCUGCCAAGGGCAUGGCUGUUUUGCGACCUGCGGGUGGGAUAAGCGCUGAAAGCAUCUAAGUGCGAAGCCCGUUUCAAGAUAAAAUCACUCACUGGGUUAACCAGGUAAGGCCCGUGGCCAGACGACCACGUUGAUAGGCCGGAAGUGUAAGUGCGGUAACGCAUUCAGCUGACCGGUACUAAUCGGCCGAGGGCUUGGAGU
RNAcentral lists this ribosomal RNA (2120 nucleotides) under soil metagenome. RNAcentral describes it as "bacterial LSU rRNA". It matches the Rfam family "Bacterial large subunit ribosomal RNA", at positions 887 to 2925 of the family's 2925-position model. The record is from RNAcentral.